Molecule: long non-coding RNA, 243 nt
Filed under: Gossypium raimondii (Peruvian cotton)
Lineage: Eukaryota; Viridiplantae; Streptophyta; Magnoliopsida; Malvales; Malvaceae
Description: long non-coding RNA (GRAI_LNC006035)
Source: RNAcentral
UCCCAUGGAACUACCGCAAUAUAUGCACCAUCCUUACCUUGACCCAUCAUUUAAUUACAUCCAGAAAAGAAAAAGAAAGAAAAGGAUCAGAGGAAGAGAAAAGGAAAAUGGAAAGGAACACAUCAGAGGAAGAGAAAAGGAAAAUGGAAAGGAACACAUCAUCAUAGACUCAAUAGUUUCACUUAUCAAUCACUGUUUCCAUCAUCUAUCGAUUAUUUGGACUUGAAAGGAAUGGCUCUGAUC